GCAUUGGUGGUUCAGUGGUAGGAUUCUUGCCUUUCAUGCAGGAGACCUGAGUUCAAUUCCCAGCCAAUGCA
This 71-nucleotide transfer RNA is filed under the name Trichechus manatus latirostris (Florida manatee). Its description in RNAcentral is "tRNA-Glu (TTC) (tRNA-Glu-TTC-11-1)". It matches the Rfam family "tRNA". Rfam says of the family: Transfer RNA (tRNA) molecules are approximately 80 nucleotides in length. Their secondary structure includes four short double-helical elements and three loops (D, anti-codon, and T loops). The record is from Rfam by way of RNAcentral. Lineage: Eukaryota; Metazoa; Chordata; Mammalia; Sirenia; Trichechidae.